RNAcentral lists this ribosomal RNA (301 nucleotides) under uncultured bacterium. RNAcentral describes it as "partial 16S ribosomal RNA". It matches the Rfam family "Bacterial small subunit ribosomal RNA", at positions 509 to 807 of the family's 1533-position model. The record is from RNAcentral.
CAGCAGCCACGGUAAUACGAAGGGUGCAAGCGUUAAUCGGAAUUACUGGGCGUAAAGCGUGCGUAGGCGGUUUGUUAAGUCUGCUGUGAAAUCCCCGGGCUCAACCUGGGAAUGGCAGUGGAUACUGGCAAGCUAGAGUGUGUCAGAGGAUGGUGGAAUUCCCGGUGUAGCGGUGAAAUGCGUAGAGAUCGGGAGGAACAUCAGUGGCGAAGGCGGCCAUCUGGGACAACACUGACGCUGAGGCACGAAAGCGUGGGGAGCAAACAGGAUUAGAUACCCCCGUAGUCCCUGUCUCUUAUAC